RNAcentral lists this ribosomal RNA (166 nucleotides) under Escherichia coli. RNAcentral describes it as "partial 16S ribosomal RNA". It matches the Rfam family "Bacterial small subunit ribosomal RNA", at positions 1 to 160 of the family's 1533-position model. The record is from RNAcentral. Lineage: Bacteria; Pseudomonadati; Pseudomonadota; Gammaproteobacteria; Enterobacterales; Enterobacteriaceae.
AAAUUGAAGAGUUUGAUCAUGGCUCAGAUUGAACGCUGGCGGCAGGCCUAACACAUGCAAGUCGAACGGUAACAGGAAGAAGCUUGCUUCUUUGCUGACGAGUGGCGGACGGGUGAGUAAUGUCUGGGAAACUGCCUGAUGGAGGGGGAUAACUACUGGAAACGGU